CAGAAUAUAGCUAAGAUAGGAAAGCGCCCCCCUUACACUGAGGAGUCACCCGUGCAAAUCGAGUUGUUCUGA
RNAcentral lists this transfer RNA (72 nucleotides) under Danacetichthys galathenus. Its description in RNAcentral is "tRNA-Val". It matches the Rfam family "tRNA". Rfam says of the family: Transfer RNA (tRNA) molecules are approximately 80 nucleotides in length. Their secondary structure includes four short double-helical elements and three loops (D, anti-codon, and T loops). The record is from RNAcentral. Lineage: Eukaryota; Metazoa; Chordata; Actinopteri; Beryciformes; Cetomimidae.